UAGCUUGUCUGGCACAGAAUAGCCUGCCACCAUAAAGAUGAAAACACGAGAGAGGAGAUCUGCUUCUACCUGGACAAUUUGGCUUACAGUCUGAAUCUAACUUCAGAGAUUUUAAUCAUGGUCACAAAUCAGGUAACAAGAGAAUCUCCCUCUGUAUUUGCAUUUGUUUGUUGUAUUUUAUAUGGAAUAUGUUUUGAGGCAGAUGUUUGGCAGUGGCCUUUUAGGGGAG
RNAcentral lists this long non-coding RNA (229 nucleotides) under Anser brachyrhynchus (Pink-footed goose). Its description in RNAcentral is "lncRNA (ENSABRG00000002741.1)". Lineage: Eukaryota; Metazoa; Chordata; Aves; Anseriformes; Anatidae. The record is from RNAcentral.